Long non-coding RNA from Sabethes cyaneus, 929 nucleotides. RefSeq lists it as uncharacterized. Lineage: Eukaryota; Metazoa; Arthropoda; Insecta; Diptera; Culicidae. The transcript is spliced from 3 exons. The record is from RefSeq and is a predicted model, not a curated record.
UGAAUCAAACCAUCAAAACAAUAGCAAAGAACAAGGCACCCACCACCCAGUUCACACAAGUUCCAGAAUAUUUACACUCAAAAUAAUAUUCACGUUAAAGUUACGUGAAAAAUCCCGUGAAUUGGUUUUCACGAAGCUAUAACGUUUUCCACGUGACUACGGUAAAUUUUAAAUGAAUAUCCCCUUAAUUUUAUGUGUUCGUCACAUAGCAUGUACGUGAUGGCGAUAAACGUCAAAGAAAGUUACGUGAAUUUCACGUGUGAAAAUUUGCAAUAACAAAAUGGCAGAACGAUCGUGUGGGGUGUGCUGCAUGCAGUUAGGUGGAUGCAAAAACCGGUAGCUUACAAGCUACUUCAAAUAUUGCUCAUUGCCGUAGAAUCUAGCAAGGAAACACGAUUACUUACAGGCGAAACGUUUGUGGCAUGAGCGUCUAUCAAAGCCAGACGACGAUAAACCUGCUGCUGUCAAGUUCGAAAUCGGGGGAGAUCGUGUUACCAAAAUUCCAACAAAUGAGGAAAUGCCACAUUGCAUCACCUGUUCACCCAAAGGGUCGGACUCUCAGCACAUAGUGCCCCGGCACUGCAGAGAUAUCAAGCGGCACUCCUCUAAAGCCUUAUAAAAAUAACAUUUAUAGGGCUUUACACACCGGUUCAAUUUUACAUAUGAAAUGGGAGCACUGCCAGUUGUCAAAAUCAUCUCGCACGGUUGCCAGAUCUAUCAGAUUUUAACGAAUUUAACUAAUCUUGCAGUUCGGCACUUUCGGUACAGCACCGGCACAGUUCGGCUCGUUUCAAGUCGCCUAACAUAAAAACGGCUGUGCCGAGUGACCGACCCCUUGCUUAGAACAUUGUUGCAGGCUCAAUUUAGGGAACAGCUUGCCUCAUUGAUUACAAUUGCGGUACAAUCAUUUCACAGUUCAUGGCACACUG